Molecule: transfer RNA, 64 nt
Filed under: Marmota monax (woodchuck)
Lineage: Eukaryota; Metazoa; Chordata; Mammalia; Rodentia; Sciuridae
Rfam family: tRNA
About the family: Transfer RNA (tRNA) molecules are approximately 80 nucleotides in length. Their secondary structure includes four short double-helical elements and three loops (D, anti-codon, and T loops).
Source: Rfam by way of RNAcentral
GGUAGCUCAGUGGUAGAGCGCUUGCCUAGCAAGCCAGUAGUCCUGGCAUCAAUCCCCAGUACCA